This 1021-nucleotide long non-coding RNA is filed under the name Chloebia gouldiae (Gouldian finch). RNAcentral describes it as "Erythrura gouldiae (Gouldian finch) lncRNA (ENSEGOG00005010980.1)". The record is from RNAcentral. Lineage: Eukaryota; Metazoa; Chordata; Aves; Passeriformes; Passeridae.
AACCCUCCCCAAACCCUCCCCCAGACCCCCCAAACCCCGCCGGCGCGGGGGUCCCACCAUGGAGCUGGUGUAGGUGGGGUCUCCGCCGGCGGCGCCGCCGAGGGCGCGGGAGAGGCCGAAGUCGGAGACUUUGCAGACCAGCCGCGCGUCCACCAGGACGUUCCGCGCCGCCAGGUCGCGGUGCACGAAGCCGGCGCCGGCCAGGUAGCGCAUGCCGGCGGCGAUGCCGCGCAGCAUGGCCAGCAGCUGCAGCGCCGGCAGCCGGCCCGCGCGGCCCUGCCGCCGUGGAUCGGCCCAAAUCGGUGCCAGUGUCACCAGAUUGGCACCAAACCGGCACCAAAUUGGCACCGGUGGCACCAAAUCCCCUCAGUGUCACCAAAUAAUCACCAAAUCGUCACCAAAUCGGUGCCAGAUUGGCACCAGAUUGGUGCCAAAUCGGCACCAGAUCGGCACCGGUGUCACCAGAUCCCCUCAGUGUCACCAAAUCCCCCAGGUGUCCCCAAAUCAGCACCGGUGGCACCAGAUCCCCUCAGAGUCACCAAAUAACCACCAAAUCGGCACCGGUGUCACCAGAUCAGCACCAAAUCGGUGCCAGAUCGGCACCAGAUCGUCGCCGUGUCACCAAAUCCCCUCAAUGUCCCCAAAAUGUCCCCAAUGUUCUCAAAAUGUUCCCAGUGUCCCCAAAAUGUCCCCAAACCCCCCCAAACCCGUCCCCAAACACGCCCAAAUGUCCCCAAAACCCCCCAGACCCGUCCCCAAACACCUCCAAAUACCCUCAAAUACCCCCAAAUCCCCCCAAACCCCUCCCCAAAUCCCCUCAAGCACCCCCAAACCCCCAAACCCCUCCCCAAACUCCCCAAAUCCCGCCAAACCCCCCAAACCCCUCCCCAAAUCCCCCAAACUCCCCCAAAUCUCCCCCAAAUCCCCCCAAAUCCUCCCCAAACCCCUCCCCAAAUCCCCCCAAAUCCCCCCAACCCCCCCCAAAUCCUCUCCAAAUUUCCCCAAAUCCCCCCAAACCCCC